Molecule: ribosomal RNA, 473 nt
Filed under: uncultured Rhodoferax sp.
Lineage: Bacteria; Pseudomonadati; Pseudomonadota; Betaproteobacteria; Burkholderiales; Comamonadaceae
Description: bacterial SSU rRNA
Rfam family: Bacterial small subunit ribosomal RNA
Source: RNAcentral
GGAAUUGACGGGACCCGCACAAGCGGUGGAUGAUGUGGUUUAAUUCGAUGCAACGCGAAAACCUUACCCACCUUUGACAUGUACGGAAUCCUUUAGAGAUAGAGGGUGCUCGAAAGAGAGCCGUAACACAGGUGCUGCAUGGCUGUCGUCAGCUCGUGUCGUGAGAUGUUGGGUUAAGUCCCGCAACGAGCGCAACCCUUGUCAUUAGUUGCUACAUUUGGUUGGGCACUCUAAUGAGACUGCCGGUGACAAGCCGGAGGAAGGUGGGGAUGACGUCAAGUCCUCAUGGCCCUUAUAGGUGGGGCUACACACGUCAUACAAUGGCUGGUACAAAGGGUUGCCAACCCGCGAGGGGGAGCUAAUCCCACAAAGCCAGUCGUAGUCCGGAUCGUAGUCUGCAACUCGACUACGUGAAGUCGGAAUCGCUAGUAAUCGUGGAUCAGAAUGUCACGGUGAAUACGUUCCCGGGUCUU